CUUUUCUCUUCUAAGGAACUGGCAUAAUUUCUAUAUUAAAAUAAGAAUCCAUGUCCUGUAAGUAGAUAUUUACUAUAUCUUUACUUUCAGAAGUAACGCUGCAUUUCAGAAAUAUCCUGUGGAAAUCUUAUCAUCAUCCAGACCAACAAUACUGCAGCCCAAGAAGAACAUACGCCAUCAGAAGGAUAAGAGAUGCCUUUAGAGAAAACAAGAACAUUGCGGAUUCUGAAAAAAUAGAAGAACUACUGAAUAAAGCCAAAGCAAACCUCCAGAUUAUUCAACGGCAGGUAUGUUUUUCUCAUUUUUAUAGGAGUUGUCCAUUGCUUAUUUAAGUGCUUUAUGCCACCAGAGAUGGAAAAAAAAAAAGAUCCUUGCUUAAAACAUAUCUAGGUGAAUAUCAGUUUUUGUCUGACUUUAUUUGUCCUUCCAUCAUAGGUUCAGAAGGGUGACACUGACACUCACUCUAAAUAACCUCACUUUCUUCAGUGUUCAUUUUUCCCCAUCUCCAGACACAGUGUUGGAAUAGUAACAGAACAAGAAAAUCCUGAAGUGAAUUAAGUAAAUGCUGGCUAAAUGGCAAUAGGUUUUUCUUUGGAAAAUUUACAUCACUGGCAAUAUUUUCCUUCAACCUUGUCUAAGUAGCAUUUAUAGCAUCUCUGUUCCUUCCAAGAGGUACCAUGUUACUAAGAAAUGAAGUAGACUUGGUUGAACUUGAGAUACUUUUUAAUUUCUCAUUUAUAGCUGCUGUGUAUUUAAAGUGACCGCUAAAAAUUGGAAAAAAAGCAGGUUUCUAUGCCUGAACUCUCUAUGGGCACUUGCAGUGCUUAAGCUGCUCCUCCUUGCAAAAUCUGCACUUGCUGACACCAGUCAGAGCUCAGUAGUACUUUUAUUAAACACUGAACAACUAUGUGCACCUGCUCCUCAAUGGUUUAGUAAGGCUCUUUAAACAACCAGCAGGUUAGUUAGAUGGAUUCUUAUUUUAGUAGGGUGCUGGGCCCUUUGAUUUGACAAUUAAGUAUGGAUACUUAGGUGCAAGUUAAUUUUUUUUUAUUUUCUUCUCCCAGGAUCAGGUGUUGUUUUGUGCCACCAUAGUUUUGAUAUCUUU
This 1105-nucleotide long non-coding RNA is filed under the name Cyanistes caeruleus (blue tit). RNAcentral's name for it is "lncRNA (ENSCCEG00000015397.1)". Lineage: Eukaryota; Metazoa; Chordata; Aves; Passeriformes; Paridae. The record is from RNAcentral.